UGGGGAAUAUUGCGCAAUGGAGGAAACUCUGACGCAGCGACGCCGCGUGGGUGAUGAAGGCCUUCGGGUUGUAAAGCCCUGUCGGUUGGGAAAAAGGUAGUCGUGCUAAUACCACGAUUGCUUGAUGGUACCAGCAAAGGAAGCACCGGCUAACUCUGUGCCAGCAGCCGCGGUAAUACAGAGGGUGCAAGCGUUGUUCGGAAUUACUGGGCGUAAAGGGCGCGUAGGCGGUUUAGUAAGUCAGAUGUGAAAGCCCGGGGCUUAACCCCGGAAGUGCGUUUGAAACUACUAGGCUAGAGUGCAGUAGAGGUUGGUGGUAUUCCCAGUGGAGAGGUGAAAUUCGUAGAUAUUGGGAGGAACACCGGUGGCGAAGGCGGCCAACUGGGCUGUAACUGACGCUGAGGCGCGAGAGCGUGGGUAGCAAACAG
Molecule: ribosomal RNA, 428 nt
Filed under: uncultured bacterium
Lineage: Bacteria
Description: bacterial SSU rRNA
Rfam family: Bacterial small subunit ribosomal RNA
Source: RNAcentral